UGGCACCUCGAUGUCGGCUCAUCAUAUCCUGGUUGAGAAUAAUCUUCCAAGGGUCGGUCUGUUCUACCGUUAAAAUGGUACGUGAGCUGGGUUUAGAACGUCGUGAGACAGUUUGGUCCCUAUCUGCUGUUAAGUUGAAAAAAGUUAGACCCUUGCCUUAGUACGAGAGGACUGGGAUAGAUUAAUCUAUGGUUGACCAAUUAUAUCAGCAAUGUAAGUUGGUACGCUAAAUUAAGACGAAAUAAUUACUGAAGUCAAUUUAAAGUAAGAAGUUCAUCUAAUUUUUUUUCAUUCAGGUUGGUUAUAGAGUAUGA
This 314-nucleotide ribosomal RNA is filed under the name uncultured Strombidinopsis. RNAcentral describes it as "partial Bacterial large subunit ribosomal RNA". It matches the Rfam family "Bacterial large subunit ribosomal RNA", at positions 2519 to 2850 of the family's 2925-position model. Lineage: Eukaryota; Ciliophora; Spirotrichea; Choreotrichida. The record is from RNAcentral.